GCCUGCGCGUUAAUGAUCCUUCCGUAGGUGAACCUGCGGAAGGAUCAUUA
Molecule: ribosomal RNA, 50 nt
Filed under: Trichophyton tonsurans
Lineage: Eukaryota; Fungi; Ascomycota; Eurotiomycetes; Onygenales; Arthrodermataceae
Description: partial 18S ribosomal RNA
Source: RNAcentral